This 171-nucleotide unclassified non-coding RNA is filed under the name soil metagenome. RNAcentral's name for it is "partial internal transcribed spacer 1". The record is from RNAcentral.
CAUGAGUGCCGAAGCUACUUAAACCAUCGCGAACUAUCCUAUCGUUGCUUCGGCGGCGGCGGGCUCCCUCAGCGGGACUCGCAGCCCACCCCUCUCAGGAGGGAGGGCAGCCGCCGGAGGGUACAAACUCUAGUAUACAUUGGUAUCUCUGAGUAGUAUAACAAUAAGUUA